Pelobates cultripes (western spadefoot toad) is the source of this 104-nucleotide non-coding RNA. The record is from the annotation of a GenBank genome assembly. Lineage: Eukaryota; Metazoa; Chordata; Amphibia; Anura; Pelobatidae.
GAUGAUCACUUUCAUUCAAACUUCAAAUGUGUUGUGUUGUGUGUGUUUGUAUAGUUAUGUGUGUACACACACACACACAUUCAUUUAAAGUUUGAAUGAAAGUG